Molecule: ribosomal RNA, 254 nt
Filed under: uncultured bacterium
Lineage: Bacteria
Description: partial 16S ribosomal RNA
Rfam family: Bacterial small subunit ribosomal RNA
Source: RNAcentral
UACGUAGGGGGCAAGCGUUGUCCGGAUUUAUUGGGCGUAAAGAGCUCGUAGGUGGUUCGGUAAGUCGGAUGUGAAAUCUCCAGGCUCAACCUGGAGGGGUCAUUCGAUACUGCCGUGACUAGAGUUCGGUAGGGGAGUGUGGAAUUCCUAGUGGAGCGGUGAAAUGCGCAGAUAUCAGGAGGAACACCCGUAGCGAAGGCGGCACUCUGGGCCGAUACUGACACUGAGGAGCGAAAGCGUGGGGAGCGAACAGG